Molecule: RNA transcript, 3230 nt
Organism: Xiphophorus couchianus (Monterrey platyfish)
Lineage: Eukaryota; Metazoa; Chordata; Actinopteri; Cyprinodontiformes; Poeciliidae
Gene name: solute carrier family 22 member 5-like
Exons: 10
Source: RefSeq, a predicted model, not a curated record
GAUGCUUCAUUUUUCUAGAUUAUCCUAAUUUAAAACAACAUUGCCAUGGGAGUCUCACACUGUUUUAAAGAUACUAUGAUUAGAGAAGAAAAGCUCAUUUUUGAAUCGUUUGUUUUAGAUUUGCUGUUGAGAUAUGUUGAGGAAUAAACAGCCACUGCCCAGAGUAGAAACACCUGAUCUGAAACAGCCUGCAUUACUGGAUAACCAGAUUAACCCAGCCAGUUCCAUAAACCAUAAAAUCUAAUUUAAUGGCAUCUUCUAUAGUGGAAAAAAAAAAAAAAAAAAACCUCUUCCAUUCAGUAGGAAGAGUUUAAAAAAGGUCAUGUUGCACCAAGGAGGAGUUAUUAAAGUCACAAAUUCUUUAAAAGCCAUGUGGGCUGAGUCAGUGCAUGAUCUCUGAUUAAAAGGAGAUAAUUUGAUUUUCUGUCUCUGAAGAUGGUAGAAAAUGAAUUCUAAAAAAACUUUAGUUAGGUUAAAUUUGGAUGUUGAUUUAAAAGCAAAACUCUAAAACUCAACAAAUGAAAUGCUUUCUUUGUUGUCUUCAUUGGGAAUUGUAGUUUAUGGAUCCACAGUAAUCAAGGACAAAUGACUCCUAUCAGAAUCUUAGUUGUUUUCGGAGGAAAAAGAAGCACAAAACAAAAAACACUCCAAAUCUUGUCACAGCGAGUUGUGGGUUGGACAGAUUCACAGCAGGAAAUAAACUAGAGAAAUCCUCAACCUGCGCGCAGUCAUCCAUGCGCCGGACUCGAAAUGCCCGCUGCAACUUCUGACACCAGCAAAAUCACUGACUAUGAGGCGGCGACAUCUUUCCUCGGAGAAUGGGGACCUUUCCAGCAGCGGACGUUUUUCCUCCUCUGCCUGAGCUUCAUCCCUAACGGACUCACUGCGCUGUCUGUGGUGUUUUUGGCCGGCACGCCGGAUCACCGCUGCGCGCUGCCCGCGCACCUGAACCUCAGCGCCGCCUGGAGGAACAGCAGCAUCCCGCUGGAGGAGGAUGCGACCCGGGACGGCGCUUUGGUGCCCAGCAAGUGCUCCAGAUACAAAGUGGAAUAUUUAUUAAAUUACUCGGAGAGAGGCUUUUUGCCCGGAUUGGACGUUAAUCUGUCCAACGUGCCGAAAGAAAGCUGCCUGGACGGAUGGGAGUUUGACCACAGCGUGUAUACAUCUACUAUUGUCUCCGAGUGGAACCUGGUGUGUGAUGAAAGCUGGAAGAAGCCUCUCACUUCUUCUUUGUUUUUUGGUGGCAUUCUUGCUGGCUCCUUCGUUUCAGGACAGCUCUCCGACAGAUUUGGGAGGAAAAUGGUGAUGUUUGGUACCAUAGGACUACAAGUAGUCACAACACUGAUUCAGGUUUUUUCUUCAAGCUGGAUCAUGUUUGUCGUCUUGUAUUUUCUACUUGGAGUGGAACAAAUUUCCAAUUACUUGGUUGCAUUUGUUCUAGGAGCAGAAAUUUUAGGUCCGCAGGUCCGAACAUUUUUCUCCACUGCUGGAGUGUGUCUUUUCUUCGCGGUGGGCUACACACUCCUACCCUUGCUCGCGUUCUUUGUGAGAGACUGGCGGAUGCUUCAGGUGGGCUUCAUGUUGGCAGGCUGCGUUUGUUUGCCCCUCUUCUGGUUCAUCCCAGAGUCUCCUCGCUGGUUGCUUUCCCAGGGUAGAGUCGAGGAAGCCGAGGUCAUCAUCCGGAACGCUGCCAAGAUGAACAGGAUUGAAUCUCCACCCGUCAUCUUUAGACCUCUAAAGAAUGAAGGCAGGACUGAAGAGACGAGGGUGCACAACAUCUGUGACCUUCUUCGCUCUCCAAACAUCCGAUGGCUCUCUGUCACGCUGUGGCUGGUCUGGAACACCCUCACCAUCGCCUACUACGCUCUUUCCCUGAACACGGCGAACCUCCAUGGAAAUCCGUUCAUCAACUGUUUCCUGUCUGCUGUGAUCGAGAUCCCAGCCUACGCUUUGUCGUGGGUUAUGUUCCGCUGGUGCUCCAGACGACUCAGCCAUUUCUCAGCACUUUUUGCAGGAGGAUUCUUUAUAUUCAUCAUACAGUUCAUACCACGACACCUGGUUGCUCUGUCCAUAACGUUUGAGAUGUUGGGGAAGUUUGCGGUGUCCACUGCCUUUGCCGUUGUGUACGCCUACACAGCAGAGCUGUACCCCACUGUGCUGAGGAACACGGCUGUCGGCGCCUGCUCCACGGCCUCCAGAAUUGGCAGCAUUGUUGCUCCAUACUUCAUUUACUUACGCAAGAACCUACUCUGUGUCCCUGCCGUACAUCGUAGUGGGAAGCCUCACAGCUUUGACUGGUCUGCUGAGUCUGCUUCUCCCUGAGAGCUUUGGGAUGCCUCUGCCCGACACCAUCAGCCAAAUGCAAAGCUUUCCUGGAUGUUGCCAGAAAAGACGUUACGUCCUCACCAGCACUAAAGAAGAGGAAAACGCUGCUGAAGAAAAGUCUCUAGCCAGACAGCAGUAAAUUCUGUGGAGUAGAAACUGCACAGAAAAGAUGCAAAAGAACAAAGAUUCAGGAUAUGGAAAUCUGCUGUUCUAUACAUAAACAAUGGGUUUACUUAAAGAGUCUCUAAUUCUGAGGUUGCACUGGACACUUUUGUUAAAAAAGUCCUUUCUAAAUCCUUUUUCCUCUCUUUCGUUAUAUAUAGAGAACCCAACUGUCUAUGUUGUAGUGAUGAACUCAGGGAGAACUAAGGAUGAUGUUUCCUUAAUUUCACAAAUUUUAAGACACAGACACGUUUAACAUAAACAGCAAUAAAACUAUUGAGGAAGGUGGGACGUCAAAUGUAAUUCAGAAAAAAAUUACUAGUGGAAGUGUUAAAAAAAAACUGAAUUUAAAGCUGAACCAGCAACACUCAGUCACAGAGGGCUGUCUGGUAACACAACUGGUUCUGAGGCUUCAGUUUUUUGGAUGCAGGGACAUUUGGUCCUGUGGUGAAAAAAAAGACAAGUGAGCAAAAGCAAGAUGAAUUCAUCAAAUGACACACACACACCCACACACACACACACCCACAGCCACACCCACAGCCACACACACACGCCCAUAUUUCUGUGAAGGUUGCAGCCAACAUUUAGAGGUGGAGCAGCAUGCUAAUAGUUGCUUACAUCACACCUUGUGCUCCAGCGCCAUCCACUGGUUGAUUGUCAUCAUUACAUAUUAUCGACCGUGUGAUGCAAAUUUGUUAAGUUACAAAUGUCUAAAUAAAAAAGCAAUUUUGUUAUUUUUUUCA